GAAGCAGGUUGAGGCAACCCGAGGGGUAGAUGAAAGCAAACCACGAACCGGGUGGCGUCAGACCGGAGACUGGCAUCGUGUCCCCUUCUCCCUUCUCCCUUCUCCCUUCUCUGCUUCGCUGCCGCGCCCAAACCGACCUAAAGAAAAGAAUUUAUUGAGAGUAAGCGGCAGGGUUACAGAGAGAAUAAGGCCCUCUCGCUCGUUUUUGAAGGAGAGGGAGGAAGAGCUAGGGUUAGGGAUUCCCCACCCCCAUCUUGGUCCUCGCUUCGUGGCUGAUGGAGUCGUGGAGCUUCCCCGACGGCAACUUCGCCAAUCUAGUGGAGAGCCGGCGCAUCGACUCCCUCCCGGAUGUGAAUCGCAGAUUGCAACUUCAUUCAUCUUUGAUACAAAGGCUUGCCCUGGAGGAAGUUAUGGAGGGCCAUCAAGGCUGUGUUAAUGCAAUUGCUUGGAACUCAAAAGGCUCUCUUCUAAUAUCUGGAUCAGAUGAUACAAGAAUUAAUAUAUGGAGUUACAACAACUGGAGGCUUUUGCAUAGUGUUGAGACUGGGCAUUCUGCCAACAUAUUUUGCACAAAAUUUGUCCCCGAGACAUCUGAUGAACUUGUUGUGUCAGGGGCUGGAGAUGCAGAGGUUCGGCUUUUCAAUAUAUCUCGUUUAAAUGGGAAAAGAUCUAAAGAAAUUGCUCUAGAACCUGCAGCAUUGUACCAGUGUCACUCGAGGAGGGUCAAGAAGCUAGCUGUGGAAGUUGGAAAUCCUAAUGUAGUAUGGAGUGCGAGUGAGGACGGGACUGUGAGACAGCAUGACUUACGUGAAAGUGGUUCAUGCCCGCCUGCUGGAUCUUCAAACCAGGAAUGCCGUAAUGUACUACUUGAUCUUAGGUGCGGAGCAAAGAAAUCGCUGGCUGAUUCUCCUAAGCAAUGUCUGGCAUUAAAGUCUUGUGACAUCAGUACCACUCGUCCCCAUCAACUCCUUGUUGGUGGCAGUGAUGCGUUUGCUCGGUUGUAUGAUCGAAGAAUGCUUCCACCCUUGAGCUCUUGCCAGUUGAAAAUGAAGCCACCUCCUUGUGUUAAUUAUUUCUGCCCAAUGCAUCUUUCUGAGCGUAGAAAGUCAACAUUGCACCUGACACAUGUUACAUUCAGCCCAAACAGUGAAGAGCUGCUCUUGAGUUAUAGCGGCGAACAUGUUUACUUAAUGGAUGUUAACUAUGAUGGUCAGAGCAUUAUGAGAUACACUGCUGAUGAUGUUCCAAGGCAAUUGUAUAUAGAUCCUUUAUUUAAAGAAAUGAAAGUACCUUCACCACCAGAAGUUUCCUCAGACAACUUGCCUGAAAGAAAAUAUGAUUUGCGCAGGCUUGACAUGUGCAAGAAAUUGGUUCAAGACGCGGCAAAAGCUUUGGAUGAAGGCUCAAACUUAUUUUAUGGAAUAGAAGCGUGUAAUGAAGUACUGGAUGGAAAAGGUCCUGAGAUUGGCCUUGCACUACGACAUGAGUGCCUGUGUAUUCGAGCAGCAUUGCUUCUUAAGAGGAAGUGGAAAAAUGAUGUUCAUAUGGCCAUAAGGGAUUGCAACAAAGCUCGAUUUAUAAAUGCUUCAUCAGUUAAUGCGCACUAUUACAUGUCAGAAGCACUUCUUCAGUUAGGGAAAAAUAAAGAAGCUCUGGAGUAUGCAGAGGCGGCUCAUAAUUUGGCUCCAUUAAACUCUGAUGCUGCUGAAAUGGUAAAGAGAAUAAAAGAUCGUUUUGCUGCAGCUGAAGCUGAGAAAAGCAAAAAGGAUAAUGAAGAUACAGCUAAGAGUGAAGCACGGCAUGGAAGGUUAAGAUCCUUGAGUGAUGUACUCUUCUGGUCAGAGCUAAGUAGCCCGUCUCAAGAGUUUCGGUAUGACAGAGAAGAUUCUGAUUAUGAGGAAGAAAUGGAAUUGGACUUUGAAACAUCAAUAUCAGGAGAUGAGGGUCGUGAUAAUGAGCCAAGCAUUCUUCGAGGAAGUUUAAAUUUGAGGUUUCAUCGAAGAGAUGACUCAGCUAGAGAAAACUGCAGUACGGAUGGUUCACAUGGAUCUCCUUCAUCUUCCUCUCAACAUGAAAAUUCUUCUUAUCAGCCCGAGGUUGUGAUUGAUAUGAAACAAAGAUUUGUGGGCCAUUGCAAUGUGGGGACAGAUAUAAAGCAAGCUAGCUUUCUUGGUCAACAAGGAGAGUAUGUUGCUAGUGGAAGUGAUGAUGGUAGGUGGUUUAUUUGGGAGAAGAGAACAGGAAGGCUAAUUAAAAUGCUUGCUGGUGAUGAACAUGUUGUGAACUGUGUACAGUGCCAUCCAUUUGAUUGUGCUAUUGCAACUAGUGGAAUUGAUGACACAAUUAAGAUGUGGACACCGCAUGCAGAAGUUCCAUCAAUGGUUGCAGGAGGAACAGCAGAACCAGAGACUGCUGAUGUGUUGAGUGCUAUAGAAAACAAUCAGCGCAAAUUGUGCCGCAACCGUGAAGCUAUGCUGAUGUGACCAGCACAUUAAAGGGAUUUGUGUUGAUUUGAACCAUAUCAGUAAGCUUCAACUAGAAGGAUACUAGUUUACAAGGGCCAGUAAGAUGGUCAGACCAACCCAAAGUUUACUAUUUCACUUGUCUUUCGAAUUCUUGGAGCGAUUUAGGAUGCAUGAGUUUGCUGAAGGAACUUUACAUCCUUUUGAGUGUGCCCAGAGCUAAUAUGUUAUGUCUGCUCAACGCACAGGACUUGAACCAAGUUGACUGUUGAUAAUUGAAGAUGUUGGAGAAAGGAAAAAAAGGAACGGAGCAAUCUGGCAUUUGAGAUUGCUGCAGCAGGAGCAAAGCAUCCACUCAAUAUGCUUUUUGCAUUUUGACAAUAUGAUAAUACAAUAAGUGCUAACUGCAUGAUUAUGUUUCCAGAAAAUCCCAAGGCUUAGAAUUUGGAGUUGUUCAUGUACAGUGAGUGUGGAGUUCUUAUGUUGUUUAUAAACAUCUUCAUGGUGAUUUUGUUGGUUUAUUUUUCCAUCUGUCGGUAUCUUUUCUAAAGUACAUGGAAAAUUUUUGUUUGUAGACCGUCAUUGCUUUCAUGAUUAUCAUUUUAAUGUUCCAACCGCUCAAACCUUUGUACAGCAGUGUAAAAGAAUAGUACAUUCAUUAAGACAAAGCGAUGGUGCAUGAAACGUGUCGUAGGAUUGUGUUGUACAAAUGAAUCAAUGAAAUUGAAAUAGUUGAAGAACAAUGGGUGAAAGCCCAUUUUUUGAUGAA
Phoenix dactylifera (date palm) is the source of this 3231-nucleotide RNA transcript. It is a transcript of the gene named protein ALTERED SEED GERMINATION 2-like, with no coding region annotated. Lineage: Eukaryota; Viridiplantae; Streptophyta; Magnoliopsida; Arecales; Arecaceae. The record is from RefSeq and is a predicted model, not a curated record.